AGAGGCCCUCCGUGGCCGGUGUGGAAUGCUUGCUUUGUUGCCGUAGUGACAAAGCAAGCAUUCUACCAGGCCACUCAUGCUGCCUGC
Molecule: non-coding RNA, 87 nt
Organism: Myotis davidii
Lineage: Eukaryota; Metazoa; Chordata; Mammalia; Chiroptera; Vespertilionidae
Source: Rfam